This 579-nucleotide long non-coding RNA is filed under the name Oryctolagus cuniculus (rabbit). Its description in RNAcentral is "lncRNA (ENSOCUG00000029803.1)". The record is from RNAcentral. Lineage: Eukaryota; Metazoa; Chordata; Mammalia; Lagomorpha; Leporidae.
CAGAAUUCUAGAAUCUUCUGUAAUGUCACAUGUCAAGAAGGUCCAUUCCUGUUAUUAGCCUUGAUGUCUUUGAUCUAUAAACAACUGGUGUCAUCUCUCCAGAUGUUUGGUUUGCUUCCUUCUGCCAUGGUGCUGUAGUGGGAGGCAUCCCUUCACUCCCGCAGUCUUGGAGCUCCCUGAUUGUUGUCGCUGCUGCUGCUGCUGCUGCUGCCGUUGCCGUUGUUCUGCUACUCUGCAGAGGGUCAACUCUGUCACAUUUGGGCCACACCUCGCUUUUACUGGGUUUCUCCCUAACCCCUUUCAGGUAUAACUAACACCACUUCUGCUGCCCAGCUGUGGACCCACACGUCGAGAGAUAUCCAUGUUUAUACAGUUACUGAAAGGUGUCAGCAAACACAAUGUUAAGAGCCCGGACUUCUGUUAUCGUGUAUAUUCUCCGUCUCUGCAAAGUACCAUCUCUCAGCGAUCUUUGAACUCAGUAACUUCAUUUGAUGGCUUGGUAACCUGAAGCAAGCAAAAUGCCAUCUCAUGCAUUUUUGGUGUCUCUCAUCUUCCAAAUAUUGGUGCAAACCCAGAUAC